This is a long non-coding RNA of Culex quinquefasciatus (southern house mosquito), 1797 nucleotides long. RefSeq lists it as uncharacterized. The record is from RefSeq and is a predicted model, not a curated record. The transcript has 2 exons. NCBI's taxonomy places the organism in Eukaryota, Metazoa, Arthropoda, Insecta, Diptera, Culicidae.
CCCCCAGAAAAAUUUUAAGCCCGAUCGGAGAACUUUUUUUUUGGUUUAGGCUCUUUUCAAAUGGAAUUGCUGUAUAUAUAUAACUUAUAUUAAGCUUAAAAAAGUUUUUUUAUUUAUGUUCGACGCGCAUACGACAUUUUCGAAAGCAACGCGCUUAAAACUUGGUUCGAUCUUGGGUAGAUUUUGACUUCACUCGCUUUAUAUGUGGAUGACAGUCGUGACGCGUUGACCGUGAUGAGCAGAGUGGCAGGUUGGUCGGAUUUGUUCCGGAGAAAAACGCGUAGUUUAACAAAACUAAACUGGAGGACUUUAUUGAACCGCGUGCUUUUGUAACGGAUGACGCAACACAUUUGUUGUUGUUGUUUUGCAGCUCUGACAGCUGCGCGUGAGGUCGACAGGGGGUUCGGCCGACUAGGUCGACUCGAUGACGACUACAGGGUUGUUCAUCUCAACAGACCGAGCGUUAAAGAUUCCUUUUCAAACCUUUUCAGCGUUAACUUUCUCCUUUCCGCUUUAUCUUGCUUUAAUGCGCGUUAACCGUGUUAACUUGCUUUUUGGUUUACCUUGUUUUGCGUUCACACAUCAAACUGCACGAUUUUUUGACAGCUUGAACUGUUUAGAGCAACUUAGGGGAAAUUUUCGUAUGUUUGGCAGUGCUGACUAUUUAGUAAAGUUUUAGUAAAUUUUCAUCAACUUAAAUUUCAGUAACCGAUUUAGCAACUUAGAUAUUACUGAAUUUUCAGUUAAAUCAAGCAAAACAUUGUAAUAGGGCCGAAGCCAAAGUGUAAACAAAGGACCUACCCUGCUCACGUCAGUUGAUGUUUACAUUAGAAACAAGCAGGAUAGACUCUUUGUUUACACUUCGGUUUCGGCCUUAUUACAAUGUUAGAUGAUUUACUGUAAUUUCAGUAAAAUGGUUGUCAAAAUGACUGAAAUUUCAGCAAAAGAAACGUCAUUAUAUUUUGCUGAAAAUUCAGUAAUUUCUUGUGUCAGUUUGACAGAUCAUUUGCUUAAGAUUUAGCUAUCGUUGUAGAUAUUUAGGUGUCAAACCAUCGGAGUUGGAGUGUACAUUCAAAAAACUGUCUCACGACUGACUUUAAAAAUUUGUUCAACUUCCAUUUUGACAGUUCGUUUAAGAAGAUUUUGCUCCAAUCUCACCGAACAAAUCUACAGCGCAGAACAUCCACACAACGAUACACACAAACAAAUAUGCCAAGGUUUCUGCUCUCUUUCAUAACUUGCAUCCGUGAAAAUCGAACCACAAACACACACACAAACUAGCACGAACACAACUCACUCACUCAUGCAUGACUGGUCACACCAUCCGAGGCCAAAGCGUAUAGGAAUGUGCGAACAAAAAAAAAAUCGCAACCAAAAUGGAACUGAAACUUUUUUAUGUGAAUUUUGUCAACAAGAAAACCUGGACACAAAAACAAAACAACUCACACAGUGUAGGCCCCGGUUAUCGGCAGCCGAGAACCAAAAUUUAACCAGUCAAGUUUGGAUCGCAAAAAAAGGGGGGAAACAAAGUGGAAAUUCUUACUCAACAAUAAUGCCGAAUGUUAUGUAUAGAAAAAGGUGUUCCCAAAAUGCAGAGUAAAACCAAAAAAAAAGCAUAACAAUAAAGCAAACGGAUGCUAACACUGGAUGUCGAUGUAUAUUGUAAAUACGGAAGCGAAAACAGAAGAAAUGGAAGAAAGUAUAUAUGGUAAUUAUUAGAUGUUUAUAUAUUGAAGAGCAUAAGUGGAUGAAUAUACAUAUAUAUAUUGAACAAAAAAAAAAGGUUGGUGGAUGAAA